CGCCCAUCGCCACCAGUCCAGCUCGCCGAUUGGCCAACCAGGCUCCGGUGCGCUCGGCCAAUCAGAAGGGACGAUGGAGAGCGAACAGAAAGGGGAAGAAAGCGACGCUGGGAGGAAACGGCCCAGGGCUGGGGCAUUUCUUGAGCGCUCCGCUCGCUUUUCGAGGAGAGAGAGCUGCGCCUUGGCUCCACGCCGGAUAGGGCCAAACCUCCAAGGGCCAGGUCUGGAGCUGAGGACUGGCAGGGGCUACAAGCGUUCCGGAGGCGCUGAGCAAAGUGAGAGGGUGGUGAUGGAAAAGAAAAGCGGUCCGUUAGAUGAAUUGGAUUUAUCCUGAGUACCCGCAACAGAAGUAAUCUACUGUGAUGUCAGCUUCCCUGUGGAGAGGACUGUGUGGUAAGGAUCUGAGGGAAGCCUCUAAACAACAGUUAAACAAGAAAUAGGAUCACAGUCUGUCAUACUGAAGAGAACUGAAUGCUGCACAUGAACAUAAAAGUAGAUCCUUUCCAGUCGAACUCAGUCCUGGCUAACACCACUAUUUCAGUCUUACAGAGGAUCCAGCUCAGCAGUACCUGAACAUUUAACUCACAAAAAUGAGUUGAAGCCAUUAAGUUUACAGUAAUAUAAUUUACGGAUGGGAAAACUUUCAACGUAGAACUUGGUCAAAUCUUUUUUGAGAAAAUAAAUAUACAUCUUCCUUC
This is a non-coding RNA of Marmota flaviventris (yellow-bellied marmot), 698 nucleotides long. Lineage: Eukaryota; Metazoa; Chordata; Mammalia; Rodentia; Sciuridae. The record is from RefSeq and is a predicted model, not a curated record.